UUGGAUUCUAGUGGGAACCUGAGGUUGA
RNAcentral lists this non-coding RNA (28 nucleotides) under Macaca fascicularis (crab-eating macaque). Lineage: Eukaryota; Metazoa; Chordata; Mammalia; Primates; Cercopithecidae. The record is from RNAcentral. RNAcentral also lists the same sequence under 1 other name.